This 497-nucleotide ribosomal RNA is filed under the name uncultured bacterium. Its description in RNAcentral is "partial 16S ribosomal RNA". It matches the Rfam family "Bacterial small subunit ribosomal RNA", at positions 28 to 507 of the family's 1533-position model. The record is from RNAcentral.
GAUGAACGCUGGCGGCGUGCCUAAUACAUGCAAGUCGAGCGAACAGAUGAGGAGCUUGCUCCUCUGACGUUAGCGGCGGACGGGUGAGUAACACGUGGAUAACCUACCUAUAAGACUGGGAUAACUUCGGGAAACCGGAGCUAAUACCGGAUAAUAUAUUGAACCGCAUGGUUCAAUAGUGAAAGACGGUUUUGCUGUCACUUAUAGAUGGAUCCGCGCCGCAUUAGCUAGUUGGUAAGGUAACGGCUUACCAAGGCAACGAUGCGUAGCCGACCUGAGAGGGUCAUCGGCCACACUGGAACUGAGACACGGUCCAGACUCCUACGGGAGGCAGCAGUAGGGAAUCUUCCGCAAUGGGCGAAAGCUUGACGGAGCAACGCCGCGUGAGUGAUGAAGGUCUUCGGAUCGUAAAACUCUGUUAUUAGGGAAGAACAAAUGUGUAAGUAACUAUGCACGUCUUGACGGUACCUAAUCAGAAAGCCACGGCUAACUACGUG